AAGCAUGAUGAAUAUCAAUCCUUGCGCUCCGAGCUACUCGUAGCUAUGCGGAUAAGUUUCUGGUACUUGCAACUGCCGCGCAGUUGCAAGCUGAUUUC
RNAcentral lists this small nucleolar RNA (98 nucleotides) under Drosophila grimshawi. RNAcentral describes it as "snoRNA:GH25767". Lineage: Eukaryota; Metazoa; Arthropoda; Insecta; Diptera; Drosophilidae. The record is from RNAcentral.